GAUGAACGCUGGCGGCGUGCCUAAUACAUGCAAGUCGAGCGCACGGACGAGAAGCUUGCUUCUCUGAUGUUAGCGGCGGACGGGGGAGUAACACGUGGAUAACCUACCUUUAAGUCUGGGAUAACUUCGGGAAACCGGAGCUAAUACCGGCUAAUAUUUUGAACCGCAUGGUUCAAAAGUGAAAGACGGUCUUGCUGUCACUUAUAGAUGGAUCCGCGCUGCAUUAGCUAGUUGGUAAGGUAACGGCUUACCAAGGCAACGAUGCAUAGCCGACCUGAGAGGGUGAUCGGCCACACUGGAACUGAGACACGGUCCAGACUCCUACGGGAGGCAGCAGUAGGGAAUCUUCCGCAAUGGGCGAAAGCCUGACGGAGCAACGCCGCGUGAGUGAUGAAGGUCUUCGGAUCGUAAAACUCUGUUAUUAGGGAAGAACAUAUGUGUAAGUAACUGUGCACAUCUUGACGGUACCUAAUCAGAAAGCCACGGCUAACUACGUG
Molecule: ribosomal RNA, 497 nt
Filed under: uncultured bacterium
Lineage: Bacteria
Description: partial 16S ribosomal RNA
Rfam family: Bacterial small subunit ribosomal RNA
Source: RNAcentral